UGUCCUCUACGGACGCAGCAGUAGGGAAUCUUCCACAAUGGGCGAAAGCCUGAUGGAGCAACGCCGCGUGGGUGAAGAAGGUCUUCGGAUCGUAAAACCCUGUUGUUAGAGAAGAAAGUGCGUGAGAGUAACUGUUCACGUUUCGACGGUAUCUAACCAGAAAGCCACGGCUAACUACGUGCCAGCAGCCGCGGUAAUACGUAGGUGGCAAGCGUUAUCCGGAUUUAUUGGGCGUAAAGGGAACGCAGGCGGUCUUUUAAGUCUGAUGUGAAAGCCUUCGGCGUAACCGGAGGAGUGCAUUGGAA
This 305-nucleotide ribosomal RNA is filed under the name uncultured bacterium. RNAcentral describes it as "bacterial SSU rRNA". It matches the Rfam family "Bacterial small subunit ribosomal RNA", at positions 333 to 631 of the family's 1533-position model. The record is from RNAcentral.